CUCUUGUGUGAGAAGAUUUACUGUUGUUUUUUUUUUUUUUUUUUUUUUUCAUCUUCUGUACUUUGUGAAGCUGAGUGACUCUUCAAUGUAAAGUGUGAAGGCCAUGCACACACAAAAUUGUGUUCAGAUGAAGCACAAAAGCCUUGAGGGAGGCAAGUGAAAGUCAGGUUCUUCAAAGGCUUGCAUGACUGCAAACAAAUAGAGUAGAAUACUUGGUCAUUUGAGAGUCGUGUUACUGGUCCUGAAACAAAACUGUUGUGACAAGUUGUUAAAUGGAGGACUUUGCAAGAAAUCAAUCCUUCAUAGCAGAAAGAUGUCCUUAUUCAUAGCUGUGUUGCGUUCACCUGAGGACAAUGCUACAAGGGUAUGACAAGUGAAGAGCCUUGGGCUGCCUUAUGGUAAGCGGAUUCAUUUGAUUGAUGCCCAAACAAGCUGCACUACAAUAUUUGAAACUUCUUGCAAGACAAGGCUCAAGAAAUCAAGGGUUCUUCUCCUAAAGUACCUUGUAUCCCCUUUCUUGCAGACUUCUGACGUUUUUACAGUGUAGGAGUUCCCUGUCACCAUUAAGGCUGGAGCUGACUCUGGAGUUGUAUCAUAGCCUUGCCAGCUGCCGACACGUGCUGACAAUAGACUUCUCGCUAAGCAACAACUUUGUAGAAAAAUCAGGUAGUCUUCGAUGCAUAGGUGUUUUAUUUUCUCUUGAAAUGUCAAGACAGUAACAAAGGCAAAAAAAUGGAAAAAUACUGGUUCCUUCACUUCAUCUGGGAAUGAAUGUUACAUGCAAGCAUCCUGAAGCAGAUGCUCUUAAACCAUUAAAAGGGAUGUGAACUCAGUGACAGCAACUAUUCAGAUGAAGUUGCAAAAUGUUAGCUUAAAAAUAUAAAUUGAGGAUUUUAUAGUGACACAUAAAGACUAAGAAGACUCAAGCAUAGGGUUAGACCCAAGUGCUCAAGGUAAGAAGACAGCUCUUGAAUGAUUUCAGAUGAACUAGAAGCCCACAGCACUGAAUCACUGUUCAAUAGGUUCAGUGUCUGACAUUGUUGAAAACAAAUCUCCUUCAAACCACCCGUAGCUGUUAAUGGUCUCCUGUGCUAAAUGAAGGAUAGCAGAGAAUGCCCCUGGUGGCUGGGCCCUAUCAACUGAACCUUCACCUGCUUGGUGCCAGCAUUGUGGACUUAACAUUUUUGGCAUGCAUUUGUUUCUUGUUUAGGUAGCAACGAUUGUAUGAGCAUUUACUAAGGAGCUUGCUAUGCCUUGUGUUACCAGAACAUGAUCCGUUCUGUCUGACUUGGUACGGAGCACUUGAAGAUAAGGUCCAGCUUCCAGUUGGUUCAUCUGCUGUCUUUCUAGAACUGUCCAAAUGUUUAUAAGGGAAAAACUAACAGCUGCUGAUAGAAGAAAGUUAGUGGACAAGCGUUUUGGCAUUUCUUAUUUUCCAGAGCCUGAGCUAGAAAUGCUUGUGCUGCUAACAAAUGUUUAGGAAGACUCCUAAUGAGACUAUCCUGUAGUAAAUGAGUGGUCUUAAGCUUCUGUUUUAUUAAAUAUCAUACUUAAAUGUUUUUAGUAGCUAAGGAACAUCAGUUGCUCGUUAGUAAGCUUAAGUUAUCCCUAACA
This is a long non-coding RNA of Oxyura jamaicensis (ruddy duck), 1614 nucleotides long. RefSeq lists it as uncharacterized. The record is from RefSeq and is a predicted model, not a curated record. Lineage: Eukaryota; Metazoa; Chordata; Aves; Anseriformes; Anatidae. The transcript has 6 exons.